GCUCCUACGGGAGGCAGCAGUGGGGAAUAUUGGGCAAUGGGCGCAAGCCUGACCCAGCAACGCCGCGUGAAGGAAGAAGGCUUUCGGGUUGUAAGCUUCUUUUCUCAGGGACGAACAGAUAACGGUACCUGAGGAAUAAGCCACGGCUAACUACGUGCCAGCCGCCGCGGUAAUACGUAGGUGGCAAGCGUUAUCCGGAUUUACUGGGUGUAAAGGGCGUGUAGGCGGGGACGCAAGUCAGAUGUGAAAACCACGGGCU
This 259-nucleotide ribosomal RNA is filed under the name uncultured bacterium. RNAcentral describes it as "partial 16S ribosomal RNA". It matches the Rfam family "Bacterial small subunit ribosomal RNA", at positions 335 to 609 of the family's 1533-position model. The record is from RNAcentral.